Molecule: ribosomal RNA, 377 nt
Filed under: uncultured bacterium
Lineage: Bacteria
Description: bacterial SSU rRNA
Rfam family: Bacterial small subunit ribosomal RNA
Source: RNAcentral
UAAUACAGAGGUGUCAAGCGUUGCUCGGUGUCACUGGGCUUAAAGGGCGCGUAGGCUGCGCAGUACGGCUCGGGUGAAAUCCCUCGGCCCAACCGAGGAACUGCCCGGGCGACGGCUGUGCUGGACUGCAUCAGGGGCGGAUGGAACUCCCGGUGGAGCGGUGAAAUGCGUAGAUAUCGGGAGGAACGCCGGUGGCGAAAGCGAUCCGCUGGGGUGCAAGUGACGCUGAGGCGCGAAAGCCAGGGGAGCAAACGGGAUUAGAUACCCCGGUAGUCCUGGCCCUAAACGAUGCGCACUAGAUAGCGGCUCGUUCCGACGAGCCGCUGUCGGAGCAAAAGCAUUAAGUGCGCCGCCUGGGGAGUACGGCCGCAAGGUUA